RNAcentral lists this ribosomal RNA (515 nucleotides) under uncultured archaeon. Its description in RNAcentral is "bacterial SSU rRNA". It matches the Rfam family "Archaeal small subunit ribosomal RNA", at positions 345 to 859 of the family's 1478-position model. The record is from RNAcentral.
AACCUUUACACUGCACGACAGUGCGAUAAGGGAAUCCCAAGUGCGUAGGCAUAGAGCCUACGCUUUUGUCCACCGUAGGGAGGUGGACGAAUAAGGGCUGGGCAAGACCGGUGCCAGCCGCCGCGGUAAUACCGGCAGCCCGAGUGAUGGCCGAUCUUAUUGGGCCUAAAGCGUCCGUAGCUGGCCGCACAAGUCCAUCGGAAAAUCCACCCGCUCAACGGGUGGGCGUCCGGUGGAAACUGUGUGGCUUGGGACCGGAAGGCGCGACGGGUACGUCCGGGGUAGGAGUGAAAUCCCGUAAUCCUGGACGGACCGCCGAUGGCGAAAGCACGUCGCGAGAACGGAUCCGACAGUGAGGGACGAAAGCUAGGGUCUCGAACCGGAUUAGAUACCCGGGUAGUCCUAGCCGUAAACAAUGCCUGCUAGGUGUGGCUCCCACUACGAGUGGGUGCUGCGCCGUAGGGAAGCCGCUAAGCAGGCCGCCUGGGAAGUACGUCCGCAAGGAUGAAACUUAA